Molecule: long non-coding RNA, 2273 nt
Organism: Mastomys coucha (southern multimammate mouse)
Lineage: Eukaryota; Metazoa; Chordata; Mammalia; Rodentia; Muridae
Exons: 2
Source: RefSeq, a predicted model, not a curated record
AAGACAUGGACAGAACGCUGGGCUGGAUUGGGUCUACUCACAUCCCACUCUUGGUUAAGAACAGAAACUCCGGGGUUGGGGGGGAGCCAAGCUGUGUGGAGUUUGAGUUUAGCUGUGUGAGUGAGCAGUCUAAGCAUUUGGGGCCUAGUCUCUGUACUUAAGAACUGUCAAAAUAACAGCAUCCACUGUCCUGGCUUGCUGGGAGGAUAAUCAGUUCUUUGUAAACUCUUUGGAAUGCUGCCUGGUACUGCCUGAAUGGACCGUCGAGUGAAUGAGCGUGCUCACGUGCUCACUCUCUGCUGCCCAGACAGCAUCAUCGGCAGACCGGCUAGCACGACCCUGUCACCAGCUGUCUGCCAUUGCUGCGUACGCCAAGAGCCCUUCCCACACAGGACCUUGGGGGAACCUCCAUCGUUGGGACCCUCGGGUUUGAAAAUGAUAUAAUCUCAACACUAGCUGGCUUUUUGCAAGACGGUAAACUUCUUGAUGGCGUUGCCCAGGUGGGACAGAGGAGCCGGCAUCAGAGUGCUAAGAUCACCAGCCUGGGUGUUCCAGACCCGUUUUAUGCAAGGCCAGCACUCUACUGAAUGAGCUACAUCUGCAGUCUGUGAGCACCUUUAUUAGCCAGAGAUAAGAAUCCCACAGUCUCGGCUUCCCGUGAGAACAGACUGGUGUGAACGGGCAACGUGUCGGGUACUGAUGCUGUUCAUUUGAUCCCCAUACACCUCGAAAUAAGUGCUGUCAGUGACCCCCAACUUUGCCGACCUGCAAGGGUAGAGACCUGCUCUGGCUGUGCAGCGAGUGUGGCUCCAAACGCCUGUGUCUCUGAUCUGCCUCUUUGUCCCCGCCAUCCCAAGCACGAUGCAGAACUUCCCUGUCAGGAAGGUUGGUCCUCGCUUCACACACUGCCUAGGCCUCUAGGCUCCAGCCACACUGCCAGUCCCAGCCAAUCAGAGUGGAUCCUUAAUCCAAUGUGCUCCUGAGCCGCUGUUGCCUUGGUGACCAGGAAUGUCUGCCUCGGGAAGCCCACCCAGACUCCACAUCCCACCAGGUCCCCAACACUCCACCCACCACCACCAUUACACACGAUCAAGCUGGGUAGGGAAGAGUCCAGGAGAGGAUUUGGAGGGGCUGGUUCCUCCUAACUGCAGGGGAGAGGGGGCUGUCAUGGCUCAGAGUGGUCCCCAAGUACAGGAGUUUGGGGGAAGUACUAGGCUCAAAGAAAGGAGAUUGGGAGUGAGCGCCAGGCUCUCCCUUUAGUUCCUUGGGAUCUAAAUGCUUCCCCAGUCUUGGAGGAGGAAGAGCUGUAUGAACUGUGCUGUGGGUCCCUGGGAUUGACUGCUGUGUGGUUCUGGACAAGUAGGCUCACUAUUCUGAGUGCCCAGCCUGGCAGGAAUGAAUACGAAGACCCAGGAGGAGACACAUCAGAAUCAAGUGUUGCCUCCCAAGAGAGGCACUCCCAGGACACCUGCCGUGAUGCUGGCUGCUACUGUGACCACACACAGGAAUGUCCCGGCCACAGAGACACAGUGUAGGCAGCUGGAAUGUACUCCCGGGUUCAACCUGAGAACCACAGAGACUGAUGUUGUUAACCUGUAAACCGCAAUGGUGUCUGGAACAGCAACGAAAGCCACUGCCCAGGGGGGCGACUCAGUUCUGAGCCAAGCAGGUUCCAAUUCAGCCAUCCCAGCCUACAGUCACGCAGCUGAUGUGAGGAGAUCCCAGGUUUCUGAAACAGUUAGGUACUAUGGGACUCUGCCAAAUGGAGUGUUCUGGGAAGGGUGUCUCUGCCUGGGAUACUCACACAGACGACAUUCCCAAACCCCCUUCUGGGUCCCCGAAAUGCUCUGUAGCCAGCCAGCCUGGGGUUCCCCUCCCCUCUAGGGCUUGGCUCUGCUCAGCCCAGUUCCAGAGCCAAUCUGCAAUUGCAUAAUGGACAAUUAGGAAUGAGCUUUCUUCUCUUCCAAAGGAGCAAUCAGCCUGACGGCAAGGACAGAGCAGAGAGGACCCAGGAAGUUUGUCUCCUCGUCCCUGCCAAGAUGGAGAGACCCUCUCCUGACCCAGCCUAGCUGGAAAAAUCAGAGCUCGCUAGGGUGUCCCCCUACUUCUCCCCUGCCUCCUAUCUCCCUUCUAGGAAGACAUCCUGACAAGGCUGGCCCAUGACUUUCCUGGGAUGCUGUGAUUCCAAUGUCCUCAGGGCUGUCUGGUGGGUGGCACCUGGCCUGUCCCACCUGUCUCCCCUCCCCCGUAAUUACUAACCAUCUAAGGCACCA